AGAUCCCAUUCCCGGAUCCCAUUCCCGAGUCCCAUUAUCCCAUCCCAUUAUCCCAUUCCCGGAUCCCUGGAUCCCAUCCCUGGAUCCCAUUCCCAGAUCCCAUUCCCAAAUCCCAUUAUCCCAUCCAUGGAUCCCAUCCCAGAUCCCAUUCCCAGAUCCCAUUCCCGGAUCCCAUUCCCCGAUCCCAUUCCCGGAUCCCAUUCCCAGAUCCCAUUCCCGGAUCCCAUUCCUGUGUCCCAUUAUCCCAUCCCAUUAUCCCAUUCCCAUAUCCCAUUAUCCCAUUAUCCCAUUCCCGGAUCCCAUUCCCGGAUCCCAUUCCCGAAUCCCAAAUCCCAUUCCCACUCCGCAGGAUCACCGGGAUCUGCUGGCGCGGGCGGAGUCGGGACAGGCGGAGCUGGAGCGGCUCCGCAAGGCGGAAGGGGAGAGAGAGGCACAGCGGGAGCGGUGGGAAUUCCGGGAAUUCCGGGAAUUCCGGGAAUGGGGGAAUUCCGGGAAUGGGGGAAUUCCGGGAAUGGGAAUUCCGGGAAUGGGGGAAUCCUGGGAAUGGGAAUUCCAGGAGUAGGGGAAUCUGGGAAUUCCAGGAAUGGGAAUUCCGGGAAUGUGGGAAUCCGGGAAUGGGAAUUCUGGGAAUGGGGGAAUUCCGGGAAUGGGGGAAUCCUGGGAAUAGGAAUUCCGGGAAUGGGGGAAUCUGGGAAUGGGAAUUCUGGGAAUUCUGGGAAUGUGGGAAUUCCAGGAAUGUGGGAAUUCCAGGAAUUCCGGGAAUGGGAAUUCUGGGAAUGGGAAUGGGGGAAUCCUGGGAAUGGGGGAAUUCCGGGAAUGGGGGAAUCCUGGGAAUGGCAAUUCCGGGAAUGGGAAUGUGGAAAUUCCAGGAAUGGGAAUUCUGGGAAUGUGGGAAUUCCGGGAAUGGGAAUUCCAGGAGUGCGGGAAUGUGGGAAUCCUGGGAAUGGGAAUUCUGGGAAUGGGGGAAUCUGGGAAUUCCGGGAAUCCUGGGAAUGCGGGAAUCCUGGGAAUGGGGGAGUUCCAGGAGUGGGA
RNAcentral lists this long non-coding RNA (1032 nucleotides) under Chloebia gouldiae (Gouldian finch). RNAcentral's name for it is "Erythrura gouldiae (Gouldian finch) lncRNA (ENSEGOG00005017820.1)". Lineage: Eukaryota; Metazoa; Chordata; Aves; Passeriformes; Passeridae. The record is from RNAcentral.